Molecule: unclassified non-coding RNA, 384 nt
Filed under: uncultured bacterium
Lineage: Bacteria
Description: contains 16S-23S intergenic spacer region
Source: RNAcentral
UCCGAGUUGACCCCGGCAGUCUCCCGUGAGUCCCCAGCACCACAAAGGGCCUGCUGGCAACACGAGACAAGGGUUGCGCUCGUUGCGGGACUUAACCCAACAUCUCACGACACGAGCUGACGACAGCCAUGCACCACCUGUACACCGGCCACAAGGGAAACCACAUCUCUGCAGCGAUCCGGCGUAUGUCAAGCCUUGGUAAGGUUCUUCGCGUCGCAUCGAAUUAAUCCGCAUGCUCCGCCGCUUGUGCGGGCCCCCGUCAAUUCCUUUGAGUUUCAGUCUUGCGACCGUACUUCCCAGGCGGCGAACUUAACGCGUUAGCUUCGAUACUGAAGGCUCAAUUGCCCCCAACAUCCAGUUCGCAUCGUUUAGGGCGUGGACUAC